UUCCAGAAAACACGAGAUUUUUCUCCUAUUUCGGCAGUUGGACACAACUUCAUUGCUGGGAAAAGGCCAAGAAAGAAGAGAGAACUCUCACCACAACAUUUCAAAGGGAAUACAUUGCCAGAACUUGGAAUACUCUUCUGGACAAACAUUUCCUCCAAGGUAAAUAUUACCAUUGUACCAAUAAAGGGACACAUCACUAGAAUUUUUGAAUGGCAGUGGUACAGCACAAAGGUUUAAUUGUUUAGUCUCAUACAGACCUAGAGUGAUAUGAGAGAAAGAGAGAGAGGGAGAGAGAGAGAGAAGAAAGCAGUGCUGUUGGGGUAUCCUGCAGCCUCUUCUAAAUGUGUUACCAGGAGAAUGCCAUCA
RNAcentral lists this small RNA (366 nucleotides) under Pan troglodytes (chimpanzee). Its description in RNAcentral is "processed transcript". Lineage: Eukaryota; Metazoa; Chordata; Mammalia; Primates; Hominidae. The record is from RNAcentral.